This 1617-nucleotide long non-coding RNA is filed under the name Eurytemora carolleeae. Its description in RNAcentral is "uncharacterized LOC111701851". The record is from RNAcentral. Lineage: Eukaryota; Metazoa; Arthropoda; Copepoda; Calanoida; Temoridae.
AGAAUAUUUCAGCUUGUGGCAAAGACUCAAUUCCUUUGACUUAAUCUUAAUUUAAUAGCUUAAGCUUAAUUUUAAGUUGUCCUAUCAAAAUAUCGAUAAGUUCUUUCUAUGGAAAAGUUUUUCCGUAAUGUUUAUAAAAAUUAUAAUUACUUUUUCAUCUUUAAAGGGACAGACCGGCUAUGUUGUAAGAUCUGAGGAUCUUUAUAAACUAAUGUGUGUUCGGGGUGUUCAGCGACAAGACGUUAUUCAGCGUGUUCAACCAGGAAUUCUCUACAUACAAUCGAUCAAUCACACGGAACUCUACAUGCACAAUUUUCUACAUUUAAUCACGUGUUCAAAUCUAUAUAAUUAAUUAAGAUUUUUAAUGUAUAACUAUUUAAAGGCCAAUUUUUAUAAAGAAUAACUUGAUUUUGUUUUAUAUUGCAGAACCUGAGUUUUAUGGUUAAGAAUGUUUUAUAAUUCGACCUAUAUAUAAUAUCUAACCAAAGCCUAUAUAUAAUGUCUAGCCUAGGCCUAAUCAUGUCUAGCCUAAGCCUCGAAAAAUCAUUGCCUAAAUGAGUUUUAUCUUUCAGAACACAAUGGGUUAGUUGCGCCUUUCUAACCUGAAUUUGUGUCUCUUUCUCCAGGUCUAUAAAUCAUCCGUAAUAAAUGUUCAAGGCUCUCUACACAAUGUUGCCAAAUUUUAUUCCUACGGAUGGUUUAUAGAAUAUAUAUAGAUAAUUGUGAUUGUUGUGAUUUCCUCUAAAUAGUUCCGGGUACGUCUCCGUGCAUUAAACCAGGUGAAAAUUGCAAAUAUCUAAAAUGAGCUUAAAUAAUAUCCUGACUUCUCACAAAUCUCUCAACAUAAUUCUCAUGCUAGGCUGGCACGAGUCCCGUUGAUAUAUAACCUCGACUUGCUCUGCUGACUCACGGAGAAGUUCUACUCCUCUUCAACAUGCAGAAUGCCUCCCCUGUGUGUUUGAUUCCUGAGAUGAAUAAGUUCUCUCCUAAUCCCACCUACUAAUCUUGACAUCCUGAGUCUAAGGAAGUCUACAUAUAGGUGAGGAUCAAAGCUCACAACCUUUGAGCUCUGGAACUCGGUCUAAUUAUCUUCAUUUAGACCUCCGUUGUCACGACUCCGACAUCACCGGAAGCUGAGUUAUCCUUGUUUCUCUGGACACUCGGCUGAUACUCCAGAAUAUCCUGCUGGUACUCUAGAGACUCAUCUACCUCUACGUACCAGGCCUCUACAACUUCGGCUUCAUUGUAACCUCCCCUCCGAUACCUCCACGGAAGGGCUCUGAAACUGUUUCCCUGAUCUAGCUCCUCCUCUAGAUUAAAUACAGUUUCCUGUUUGCGACUGCGGUGCAAUUUAAUGAACUAUAGGCUACAAACCUCUGGACAAAUCAACAUUUUCAAGGUUGAGUCCUGUAUAAACUGCCUACCUGAAAUAUAUACAUAAGAUUUAAUCAGUGCAAAUAGAGGUGAGCCGAAGAGAAAGAGUUCAUGCUCGCUCUUAUGUUUGUAGUUAUUACCUGGUUUCUAAAGGUAAAAUUUGAGCACAUAUGUAAGGUAGUUGAACUGAGAAUGCAGUGUUGUGGAAAGUUUCUUUAGGAUUCAUUUGAGACAUAUAAAACU